This 301-nucleotide ribosomal RNA is filed under the name uncultured bacterium. Its description in RNAcentral is "partial 16S ribosomal RNA". It matches the Rfam family "Bacterial small subunit ribosomal RNA", at positions 509 to 808 of the family's 1533-position model. The record is from RNAcentral.
CAGCCGCCGCGGUAUACGGAGGGUGCAAGCGUUAAUCGGAAUUACUGGGCGUAAAGCGUGCGUAGGCGGUUUGUUAAGUCUGCUGUGAAAUCCCCGGGCUCAACCUGGGAACUGCAUCCAAAACUGGCAAGCUAGAGUAUGGUAGAGGGUGGUGGAAUUUCCUGUGUAGCGGUGAAAUGCGUAGAUAUAGGAAGGAACACCAGUGGCGAAGGCGACCACCUGGACUGAUACUGACACUGAGGUGCGAAAGCGUGGGGAGCAAACAGGAUUAGAUACCCGGGUAGUCCCUGUCUCUUAUACA